This is a long non-coding RNA of Toxorhynchites rutilus septentrionalis, 679 nucleotides long. RefSeq lists it as uncharacterized. NCBI's taxonomy places the organism in Eukaryota, Metazoa, Arthropoda, Insecta, Diptera, Culicidae. The transcript is spliced from 3 exons. The record is from RefSeq and is a predicted model, not a curated record.
GAGAUAAAAUCACCAAUUUUGAGGAACGAACUUACUGUUAAUUGUUGGUCUAUUAUACAUGGAAUUUGUUGUAUUUAACUGUGAAUUAUAUAUUCAAUUAAAUGUAUUGUAAUAUUGUGAAACAUGUAUAAAAAAAUGUGUGUAUAAAUUAACAAACUGUGUGAAUGUGUGAUGGACUCUUGUUAAUUAUUGUACGGGAGAAAGAACUGGCUGCGCACUGUCUACAGAAUAGCUGUUUGUGGUUGCCGUCGGUACUGCAUAGAAAUGCAGUUUUGGUUGUGUUUUGGAUUUCUACCGACGGCCUUUUGAUCAGUGGAUAAUAGUCGAUGUUGGGAGCCUGGCAGCGAACACAUACACACAAUGUAUUCCAGGACGGCGAGGAAGAUAAAAAACGCAACAUCGGAUGGUUCAAUGGAACCAUUUUCGUGGGCAUAUCGGCGAUAUAAGGGUGGCCUAAAUAUUAUAGAAUAACAUGUAGAUGGUGUUCUCAUUAACAGAAAUCGGAAAUUCAAAAUCCCCCAAAAUUCCCCUACAUUGAGACGGCAAAGUUCCACUAGGAACAUUAGUGUCAUUUAAGAAGAAGAAGAAGACGGUGACCUAUAAAAGGGAUGGGAUAAAUCCACAAGAAAACAUACGUAUGUGAUUAUCUGUAACGUGUGUGUCAUUGAAUAAAACUGAC